GACGUAGGAGGCGAGCGUUGUCCGGAUUCAUUGGGCGUAAAGAGCUCGUAGGCGGUUCGUCGCGUCGGCUGUGAAAUCCCGAGGCUCAACCUCGGGUCUGCAGUCGAUACGGGCGGACUGGAGUUCGGCAGGGGAGACUGGAAUUCCUGGUGUAGCGGUGAAAUGCGCAGAUAUCAGGAGGAACACCGGUGGCGAAGGCGGGUCUCUGGGCCGAUACUGACGCUGAGGAGCGAAAGCGUGGGGAGCGAACAGG
Molecule: ribosomal RNA, 253 nt
Filed under: uncultured bacterium
Lineage: Bacteria
Description: partial 16S ribosomal RNA
Rfam family: Bacterial small subunit ribosomal RNA
Source: RNAcentral